GGGGAAUUUUGGACAAUGGGGGCAACCCUGAUCCAGCCAUUCCGCGUGAGUGAAGAAGGCCUUCGGGUUGUAAAGCUCUUUCGGCAGGAACGAAACGGCGGGCUCUAACAUAGCCUGCUAAUGACGGUACCUGAAGAAGAAGCACCGGCUAACUACGUGCCAGCAGCCGCGGUAAUACGUAGGGUGCGAGCGUUAAUCGGAAUUACUGGGCGUAAAGCGUGCGCAGGCGGUUUUGUAAGACAGAUGUGAAAUCCCCGGGCUUAACCUGGGAACUGCGUUUGUGACUGCAAGACUUGAGUGCGGCAGAGGGGGGUGGAAUUCCACGUGUAGCAGUGAAAUGCGUAGAGAUGUGGAGGAACACCGAUGGCGAAGGCAGCCCCCUGGGUCGACACUGACGCUCAUGCACGAAAGCGUGGGUAGCAAAC
Molecule: ribosomal RNA, 425 nt
Filed under: uncultured bacterium
Lineage: Bacteria
Description: bacterial SSU rRNA
Rfam family: Bacterial small subunit ribosomal RNA
Source: RNAcentral